AGUGAACGCUGGCGGUAGGCCUAACACAUGCAAGUCGAACGGCAGCACAGUAAGUGCUUGCUCUUACGGGUGGCGACUGGCGGACGGGUGAUGGAUACAUCGGAAUCUACUUUUUCGUGGGGGAGAACGUAGGGAAUCUUACGCUAUUACCGCAUACGACCUACGGGUGAGAGCAUCGGACCUUCGGACCUUGCGCGAUUGAAUGAGCCGAUGGCGGGUAGCUAGUUGGCGGGGUAAAGGCCCACCAAGGCGACGAUCCGUAGCUGGUCUGAGAGGAUGAUCAGCCACACUGGAACUGAGACACGGUCCAGACUCCUACGGGAGGCAGCAGUGGGGAAUAUUGGACAAAGGGCGAAAGCCUGAUCCAGCCAUACCGCGUGGGUGAAGAAGGCCUUCGGGUUGUAAAGCCCUUUUGUUGGGGAAGAAGAGCAGCAAGUUAAUACCCCGCUGUUCUGACGGUACCAAAAGAAUAAGCACCGGCUAACUUCGUG
RNAcentral lists this ribosomal RNA (491 nucleotides) under uncultured bacterium. RNAcentral describes it as "partial 16S ribosomal RNA". It matches the Rfam family "Bacterial small subunit ribosomal RNA", at positions 29 to 507 of the family's 1533-position model. The record is from RNAcentral.